UGGGGAAUUUUCCGCAAUGGGCGAAAGCCUGACGGAGCAAUGCCGCGUGGAGGUGGAAGGCCUACGGGUCGUCAACUUCUUUUCUCGGAGAAGAAACAAUGACGGUAUCUGAGGAAUAAGCAUCGGCUAACUCCCUGCCAG
RNAcentral lists this ribosomal RNA (141 nucleotides) under uncultured bacterium. Its description in RNAcentral is "partial 16S rRNA". It matches the Rfam family "Bacterial small subunit ribosomal RNA", at positions 355 to 511 of the family's 1533-position model. The record is from RNAcentral.